UACGGAGGAUGCAAGCGUUAUCCGGAUUCAUUGGGUUUAAAGGGUGCGUAGGCGGUCUUAUAAGUCAGUGGUGAAAUACUGCAGCUCAACUGUAGAACU
RNAcentral lists this ribosomal RNA (99 nucleotides) under uncultured bacterium. RNAcentral describes it as "partial 16S ribosomal RNA". It matches the Rfam family "Bacterial small subunit ribosomal RNA", at positions 524 to 622 of the family's 1533-position model. The record is from RNAcentral.